GAUCUCGGCUCACUGCAGCCACAACUUCAUGGGCUCAGCUUGCUUCAGGGCGUUGUGACAGUUGUGUUGGAAGAAAAUUGGAAUUUCAGCCUUGCAGUGAGGGGAUCCGUGCUGCCACCAGAGCAGCUGAGUGCCAAUCUGCGGGAGGCGGGAGUGGAGCGAAACUGCAAACUGAGAAACAAACUUUCACAUCAGGUUUCUAAUUUUAGAGCAAAAAGUGGAAUUACUUUAAUUAUAUGACAUUUAACUAGAAAUACGAUUUGCUGGGAUUAAUUAUCUCUCUCAUUUAAAAUACCUUCUUAGUAGGUUUAAAUUAACAUAAAAAAUCAAAUUCAGCAUUUAAAUAAGGUCAAUGGGACUGCUGGAUUUAAACACAGAAUUUGAUUCAGUAUAAUUGGAUCACCGUAUUGGUUUUGACUUGGAAGGAUUAAAUGGAGGAAAUUGGAAAAGCGUGAAUUUGGGCAGAAAGAGAAAUUUUCUCUUCUUUUUCUUUCUUUCUUCUUUCACCUUCCAAGGGAGAGAAGUUUCCCCACCUUGGAGAGGAAACUACUACCCUGAUUAGGUCAGAAACAUCUCAGAUUCAUUAAUUGUCUCCGUUUUAUCACUACUUGAAUAAGAAAUAGUAAUAAAACAAAAAUAUUGUGUAA
This 647-nucleotide long non-coding RNA is filed under the name Homo sapiens (human). Its description in RNAcentral is "HSALNT0308227". The record is from RNAcentral. Lineage: Eukaryota; Metazoa; Chordata; Mammalia; Primates; Hominidae.